RNAcentral lists this ribosomal RNA (253 nucleotides) under uncultured bacterium. RNAcentral describes it as "partial 16S ribosomal RNA". It matches the Rfam family "Bacterial small subunit ribosomal RNA", at positions 524 to 776 of the family's 1533-position model. The record is from RNAcentral.
UACGUAGGGGGCUAGCGUUGUCCGGAAUCAUUGGGCGUAAAGAGCGCGUAGGCGGCCCGGUAAGUCCGCUGUAAAAGUCCAGGGCUCAACCCUGGAAAGCCGGUGGAUACUGUCGGGCUCGAGUCCGGAAGAGGCGAGUGGAAUUCCCGGUGUAGCGGUGAAAUGCGCAGAUAUCGGGAGGAACACCUAUGGCGAAGGCAGCUCGCUGGGACGUUACUGACGCUGAGACGCGAAAGCGUGGGGAGCAAACAGG